This 434-nucleotide ribosomal RNA is filed under the name uncultured Lachnospiraceae bacterium. RNAcentral describes it as "partial 16S ribosomal RNA". It matches the Rfam family "Bacterial small subunit ribosomal RNA", at positions 341 to 792 of the family's 1533-position model. The record is from RNAcentral. Lineage: Bacteria; Bacillati; Bacillota; Clostridia; Lachnospirales; Lachnospiraceae.
ACGGAAGGCAGCAGUGGGGAAUAUUGCACAAUGGGCGAAAGCCUGAUGCAGCGACGCCGCGUGAGUGAAGAAGUAUCUCGGUAUGUAAAGCUCUAUCAGCAGGGAAGAAAAUGACGGUACCUGACUAAGAAGCCCCGGCUAACUACGUGCCAGCAGCCGCGGUAAUACGUAGGGGGCAAGCGUUAUCCGGAUUUACUGGGUGUAAAGGGAGCGUAGACGGUUUGGCGAGUCUGAAGUGAAAUGCGGGGGCUCAACUCCUGAACUGCUUUGGAAACUGUCGAACUAGAGUGCAGGAGAGGUAAGUGGAAUUCCUAGUGUAGCGGUGAAAUGCGUAGAUAUUAGGAGGAACACCAGUGGCGAAGGCGGCUUACUGGACUGUAACUGACGUUGAGGCUCGAAAGCGUGGGGAGCAAACAGGAUUAGAUACCCUGGUA